AACGUAGGAGGCGAGCGUUAUCCGGAGUUACUGGGCGUAAAGCGCGUGUAGGCGGUGGGGUAAGUGGCUGGUGAAAGCGCCUGGCUUAACCAGGCGAGUGCCGGUCAGACUGCCUGACUAGAGUAUCGGAGAGGGACGUGGAAUUCCGGGUGUAGCGGUGAAAUGUGCAGAGAUCCGGAGGAACACCAGCGCCGAAAGGGGCGUCCUAGACGAAAACUGACGCUGAGACGCGACAGCGUGGGGAGCGAACGGG
RNAcentral lists this ribosomal RNA (253 nucleotides) under uncultured bacterium. RNAcentral's name for it is "partial 16S ribosomal RNA". It matches the Rfam family "Bacterial small subunit ribosomal RNA", at positions 524 to 776 of the family's 1533-position model. The record is from RNAcentral.